CUUACUUAAACCAAGAAGUUGUUUUUUGUUUAAAUUGUUUAUCUUUUAAUUUACUCUAUACAAAAUAAUUGAUUUAAAUAAUUUGUAUAUUUAACAAUUUUAAGCAAAACAAAUUUGUUUUAUCAAAUUUUUAAUAAUCUGCUUAUACAAAUUAUAGGAAGGUACUUACUAAAGUGAAUUAUUGAAAUAUAUAUACAUGCUUAUACAUAUUUCAUAUUCAAAAUUAAGAAUAACAUUUUUCAGAACAUUUAUUGAGUAUAUACCAAAUAUUAAUGGGGUUUACUUAUGUACGUUUUAAAAAAAAUAUAUUUAAAAACACAAUAGGCCCAGAAAUAAAGUAUAUGAAAAUCUGGUAAAAUCCGUUAAUCUACAAACUAAAUAAAAAAAAUUUGUUUACAGAAAAAAAAAAUUGUUUAUGGAUCAGGUCCAAAUAUAUUCACAACUUGAUUUGUCCAAAAAAUACAUUUAAGCCCAAUAAUAUAACUGAUUUUAUUCCGGGAAGUAAAAAAAAUGUAUCUAAAGUCAACAACUUGUUUAGUUCUUUGUCGGUGAAAACUGGAUAAACUUUACAAUUUAUUCGUCCCUCUCUCUCUUUUCUUCCAUGGUAUCGAUCAGUUGAGAUUGAUUGUCACGGAUGUUUCUCAAAAUAUGCAUGAUGUUUGCUAUGUCAAUCGCUGUAAGAUUCAAGAUCAAGUACAAACAAAAAGUGGAUAUUCAAAAAAGAAAAAAACAAAAUUAAUCUCCGACUUUGCAACGAUACAAUAAAGAAAGGAAGAAGCUCACAUUAAUACAUGGAAAAGGUGCAAUUAGUGAACCGAAGAAAAGCAAACACGAUUUUGUAUAUUAACAUGAUGUCCAGUUGGAAUUAGUAUUGAAGCCAUAGUAUAAGCAGAGUCAGUCUUGAUAAGUAUAAGUGUAUCUUAAUUUUGUAUUGUUCUUUUAUUAGUAGAUAACCGAAGGUAGUUCGGUUGGUUUACUGUGACGUUGGUUUAGUAUUUAAGUUUAAUGUGACGUUGGUUUAGUUUAAGUACGCUGGUUGCAUUUUAAAUAAGUAGCUUGUAAUAUUAAUGAGAUUUUUGAAAGUGUCUAAAAUUUAAAAGACAACUUGUAAUGGUUGAUUAAAAACAGAAUUCUAUUUUAAUAGAUUAGACUAAAUUUUAAUCCGUGCGAAAUUUGUUUCAUGAUAUAAAUAAAUUUAAAUAUAUAUUUGGCGUGAUCUCUAAUUUUUGUAUGGGUUUUUGGUUCAUUUUCUCUUCAAUGAAGUUAUUAAAAAAAAAGUAUAAGAAAUGAUUAAAAUUUAUAUGAAAAUAAAUACAAAAUACCAGAUGACAAAAAGCACCACAAUCGAAAAAUAGUUUUAAGUUUACAAUAGUCAUAUGUUUUUGUAACACAUCUCGAUGCUAAUAAAUUAUUAAUAAGUAUUUUUCGAAAAUAAUUUUAUUUUCAAGUAUGUGAUCUUAUCUAUUCUAUUAAAAGGGAAGCAGUCUUGAGAAAUCUACCUAUAAAAGUUGUUUGGACUCUUUCCUUUUAUUAUAUUUUGGUCUUUCCCUAUAUAUAAGGUUGUUGGACCUAUCUAUAACAAGUUAUUAUAUUUUUAGUUAUACAAUUAAUUAUUCUAACUAUAUGCGAUUAAUAACUAACUAUGCAUAUUUAUUUUUUUCUGUUACCAUAACAAAAUUAAAACCCUAAUAUAGUGGGAUCACGAUUAUUGUGAUGAAGAAAUCAAAAUAAUAUGUAGCGACUUCUUAAACUAUACGAGAAUACUAUAUUAAACAAGAUCAAUCAUAUUUAAUCCAACUAUGAUUACCAAAUCUAAUGACUCUUAAAUAUACUAACAACUACAAAAA
Brassica napus (rape) is the source of this 1847-nucleotide long non-coding RNA. RefSeq lists it as uncharacterized. The transcript is spliced from 3 exons. The record is from RefSeq and is a predicted model, not a curated record. Lineage: Eukaryota; Viridiplantae; Streptophyta; Magnoliopsida; Brassicales; Brassicaceae.